This 18-nucleotide ribosomal RNA is filed under the name Diplodia sapinea. RNAcentral's name for it is "partial 28S ribosomal RNA". The record is from RNAcentral. Lineage: Eukaryota; Fungi; Ascomycota; Dothideomycetes; Botryosphaeriales; Botryosphaeriaceae.
CCUCGGAUCAGGUAGGGA